GGAGAGGUGGCCGAGUGGUCGAAGGCGGCACCCUGCUAAGGUGUUGUACCGGGCAACCGGUACCGCGGGUUCGAAUCCCGCCCUCUCCG
Molecule: transfer RNA, 89 nt
Filed under: Marinithermus hydrothermalis DSM 14884
Lineage: Bacteria; Thermotogati; Deinococcota; Deinococci; Thermales; Thermaceae
Rfam family: tRNA
About the family: Transfer RNA (tRNA) molecules are approximately 80 nucleotides in length. Their secondary structure includes four short double-helical elements and three loops (D, anti-codon, and T loops). Further hydrogen bonds mediate the characteristic L-shaped molecular structure. tRNAs have two regions of fundamental functional importance: the anti-codon, which is responsible for specific mRNA codon recognition, and the 3' end, to which the tRNAs corresponding amino acid is attached (by aminoacyl-tRNA synthetases). tRNAs cope with the degeneracy of the genetic code in two manners: having more than one tRNA (with a specific anti-codon) for a particular amino acid; and 'wobble' base-pairing, i.e. permitting non-standard base-pairing at the 3rd anti-codon position.
Source: Rfam by way of RNAcentral